AUUUCCGAAUGGGGAAACCCAGUGUGUUUCGACACACUAUCAUUAACUGAAUCCAUAGGUUAAUGAGGCGAACCGGGGGAACUGAAACAUCUAAGUACCCCGAGGAAAAGAAAUCAACCGAGAUUCCCCCAGUAGCGGCGAGCGAACGGGGAGGAGCCCAGAGCCUGAAUCAGUGUGUGUGUUAGUGGAAGCGUCUGGAAAGGCGCGCGAUACAGGGUGACAGCCCCGUACACAAAAAUGCACAUAUUGUGAGCUCGAUGAGUAGGGCGGGACACGUGGUAUCCUGUCUGAAUAUGGGGGGACCAUCCUCCAAGGCUAAAUACUCCUGACUGACCGAUAGUGAACCAGUACCGU
RNAcentral lists this ribosomal RNA (354 nucleotides) under Escherichia coli. Its description in RNAcentral is "partial 23S ribosomal RNA". It matches the Rfam family "Bacterial large subunit ribosomal RNA", at positions 110 to 504 of the family's 2925-position model. The record is from RNAcentral. Lineage: Bacteria; Pseudomonadati; Pseudomonadota; Gammaproteobacteria; Enterobacterales; Enterobacteriaceae.